Oreochromis niloticus (Nile tilapia) is the source of this 642-nucleotide long non-coding RNA. RefSeq lists it as uncharacterized. The transcript has 3 exons. Lineage: Eukaryota; Metazoa; Chordata; Actinopteri; Cichliformes; Cichlidae. The record is from RefSeq and is a predicted model, not a curated record.
GCUAAAGGUCUAGCUGCUGUAUUUCCCAAGGAAAGAAUAGAGUGCGAGCUAACUUCACUCAGAGGUGGAGCAAGAUGUAGUAAGACAGACAGGACAAGAGAGGAGGAAGGGAGGCUAGAUAUAAAGGAGGUGGAGCCCCUCCUGUCAGACACAGGUGCACUGAAAGAGUGAUAUAAUCAGCUGUAGACGGCAUGCUUCACUCACCCACCGAGGCACUCCAUUAGCAGUCCAUCCACUCAACCUUAUGGAAGACCAGUUCCUCCAGAAAGCUGUGGGGUGAAAUGUGACGCAGCCUCAACAACACUCCUUUCGGUGCCACUAGGGAGCUGUACACAUUGAUUAGUAAUUGUCCUUGCUCCUUUCCUGAGAUGCUGUUUGUCCCACAGGGAGGUGGCCAUUACACCACAGCUAGCCACAGGGACCAUUCAAGGGCAAUCAGAGCAAACAGACUCAGGAUAACCACUUAUAUGGCAGAGUGCAUUGGCUGGUAUUGGUAACAGCAAGCAAAAAGCAAGAAAGUCUGGGGAGAGAAGUGGGAUUGGUUUGGAAGUGGAAUUGGUUUGGUGUGGGAAUGUCACAGCGAGCAGUGUUGGCACUGUAGUGAAGGACUUUUCUGAAAAAAUUCUGCUUACCUCUGUGUAA